Molecule: unclassified non-coding RNA, 403 nt
Filed under: Dalechampia spathulata
Lineage: Eukaryota; Viridiplantae; Streptophyta; Magnoliopsida; Malpighiales; Euphorbiaceae
Description: partial external transcribed spacer
Source: RNAcentral
CAUGCUUCAUGCAUCGAACUGUCUAACCGCGACCCCCUCAGUCCCCUUUGCUCAUGUGUGCCUAUUGUGCCCGAUGGGCCAACGUCGAUUUCCUGUGUUGCAUACCGGUGGGAUCGGAAACGAAUGCUUCCCUGUUGGAUUUUCAUCCGACCUCUGUUCGGGGGUUGCGAUGAACGCUGUAGUACCUCCUGUGUUCCAGGCACAUCGAUCGCUCGAAUGUCAUGGCAUAUGGGCAGGUUGCUCGUGCUUUCGGAUGCGGAAAGUGGGUUUCGGUUAAGGGGAUCACACCCCACAGUUGCCUGAUUAAACGCUCGCGUUAUAAACAAAGAACGACUUGCGAUGCUUGUCUCCUGCCCUUGGCAAUGCCAGGAUCGGGGCGGGCAUCGAGGUCGCGAAGGAAUGC